GGUAAACGCUGGCGGCGUGCCUAAAACAUGCAAGUCGAACGGGCAGCCUUCGGGCUGUCAGUGGCAGACGGCUGAGUAACGCGUGGGUGACGUACCUAUCGAUGGGGAAUAACUGCCCGAAAGGGUGGCUAAUACCGCAUACGCCCGUUGAUUCGUGUUGACGGGGAAAGUCUCGCGAGAGGCAUCGAUGGAGCGGCCCGCGUCCGAUUAGCUGGUUGGUGGGGUAACGCCUACCAAGGCGACGAUCGGUAGCUGGUCUCAGAGGAUGAUCAGCCAGACUGGGACUGAGACACGGCCCA
Molecule: ribosomal RNA, 299 nt
Filed under: uncultured bacterium
Lineage: Bacteria
Description: partial 16S ribosomal RNA
Rfam family: Bacterial small subunit ribosomal RNA
Source: RNAcentral